This 253-nucleotide ribosomal RNA is filed under the name uncultured bacterium. RNAcentral's name for it is "partial 16S ribosomal RNA". It matches the Rfam family "Bacterial small subunit ribosomal RNA", at positions 524 to 776 of the family's 1533-position model. The record is from RNAcentral.
UACAGAGGUCCCAAGCGUUGUUCGGAUUCACUGGGCGUAAGGGUGCGCAGGUGGUUUGGCAAGUUUGACGUGAAAGCCCCGGGCUUAACCCGGGAAUGGCGUUGAAAACUGCUUGAACUGGAGGGUUGGAGGGGGGACUGGAAUUCUUGGUGUAACAGUGAAAUGCGUAGAUAUCAAGAGGAACACCAGUGGCGAAGGCGAGUCCCUGGACAAACCCUGACACUGAGGCACGAAAGCCAAGGGAGCAAACAGG